UCACGAGCGCAGCUCAGUUCAAAAUAUAGCUGAUACCCUAAAAAUGGAAAAAGGUUCUAUUUAUACUAAGCUGGAAAAACUGGACAAAAAUGCCCCUGCGGAGUCAGUGCGGACCGCACAAAAUGGUGUGCGGCCGCACUAGGAUUUUGACUCUGAAAAAUCAACUCUCUGAACCCAGGCUCCGCGGACCGUACAGAAUGGAAUGCGGCCGCGAAGGAGUCUCGCGCGGUCCGCACAAACACAACCGCAGACCGCAUAGGCUUAAACCUUAGCACUUGACAUCUCUCUGAAGUUUGCUUCCGCGGACCGCAUAAAAUGGUAGUGCAGUCGCGGUGUCUUCAGUGCGGACCGCACAAUAUGUACUACGGCCGCAUUGCUUUGAUGCUUUCAAAUCCAGCUCUCUGAAUCUCCCUAGUGUGGAUCGCACAAAGUGUAGUGCGGCCGCACUAGGCCUGUUUGUCCUGAGUUGUCUUGUCUUCGGUACUUGUGCAGGUUUCAAUCCUUUUGAGCCGAUCUUUGACGUCUCGUCACUUUGUUGAUCAAACCUGCAAUUAAGCACAACUUAUAAGCCUUUUGGGACUAUUUUGUAAGAAUUUAUAAUCAAAGUGUAAGCAAGAAAGAGCAUGAAACACGUCAAAAUCCCUAGUUAUCAAUAGCCUUACCCUGGGUUCGGUCCCAUCAGAACAAAAAUCCAUAUUCUCAAUACUCCAAAACUGGGGCAGAAGUUUGUUUUAUUUUACGGUUUUUUCUGUAAAAAUGGUUCCAAAAAGUUGUAAUUCAGUUCAAGGUUCAUUUCGCCUUUUUACCUUUUAGGAACUUCUGAUCGAUGUUUUUUGAGAAUGUUUGAAGUCCCCAUGCCAAGGGCAGUGGGCAACCUCCCUCAUGCAGUAUCUUAGUCAGAAAAAAAAAGAAAAAAAAUUAGAGAGUCUUAUCAGUGAAAACCCACACGGGCACUAUAAGGCGACAGUGAGUAGAGAAAUGAGAGAGUCUUGUUAGUGAAAACCCAGAUGGGCACCAUAAGGCGACGAUUAGUAUAGAAAUGAGAGAGUUUAGUUAGCGAAAACCUGCAAAGGGCGCUACAUGUUCAAGAUGAACAUUUGCGGCGAAUCUUGAGAAUUAGACAGCUCAGACGGAUCAGGAGUCCAGUCCAAAAUGCAUGUCAUGAUUCAUUAAAGUCAGCACAUACCUCCAGAUAAGUCUUCAUAUUCCUUUCCCCGAAAGGGACACCUUUUGUUUAAGCAUAGUUCUUUUUCACUUUCAAUUAUUAUUCUAUUUUUUACCUAUAAUUUUUCUUUGAGUCCCUUUCGGUCUAAUCCUGCAUCAAAAUUGAAGCAAAGAAAGGGAUGCAAAACUGGCUACAGUUUCCCCGUAAUGUCGAGCACAAUUUGGGGCAUAUAUGGCAUUGACGAAGGCACGAAUCUAUCUGUGAUUUCAUUUGAUAAGGUGAGCAAAGUGUCUCAAAGAAACUGAAAAGGUCGCCUAAGCAAGACUAGCUUCAUGAGAAAAGUUGAUAAGCACUACGGACACAAACCGAUACUUGGUGCAAGACAACUGAGUUUGAUAUUAAAGAAAAAUAACCUUGCCUUAGAGACAAGGGUAGCGGUACCAUGGGUAUCUAGGUAUGAAACAGUUGGGAGCAACAUGGGAAAGCCAAGGUCUUCAGAAAAUGAUACAGAGCAGCCGAGCAUCUCGGUACUACGCUGGCAGAAUCGUUUCUUCGACAGCAGUGGUCGUGAAUCAAACUACUCAAGGCAUCAAGGCCACAAACCAACCACCACUUUGAAAACUCACAAAUUUUUUUUUGUUUGAAGCAGGAACAAAGCAGUGCAGAAUGGCAAUUUUAAAAGAACGAAUGUCACUAAACGUAAGUUCCUUAAAAUCUCCAUUUUAUUUUAUUUUCAUCAUGCAUCACUAUUGUUGAAAGCUCAAUUUUUGUAGCUUAACUUAGGUAGAAUCCUUUCGCCUAGGGGGAUCCAGCUCAUAGUUCCCAGAAGAAGUACUCUUCGCUCAGGCUGUUUUUACGUAGCUUAACUUGGGUAGAACCUUUUCGCCUAGGGGGAUCCAGCUAAUAGUUCUGGGUAGAAGUACUUUUCGCUCAGGUUGUUUUACAUAGCAUAACCCAGGUAGAACCGUUUCGCCUAGGGGGAUCUAGCUCACAAUUCCGGGUAGAAGACUCUUUGCUCAAGUUGUUUUUACGUAGCUUAACCCAGGUAGAACCUUUUCGCCUAGGGGGAUCUAGCUCUUAUUUCCGGUAGAAGCACUCUUCGCCCAUCCUCAUACAAAAAUUCAAUUCUUUUGACUCAGCUCUUUCUCAACUAUCUCUCUUUUCAACCUUCUUUCCAGAUGUAGGUAUCGUCUUAUUACGAAUGAAAUAGAAUUUCGGAGUUUGAAUUCUUAUAAGUGAGCUCUAUCACACGAUCUAGAGUAAGAAGAAAGAUUGACAAUCCUAAAUGCCAUGUAGCCUCCUGCUUAUAAGUGUGGUGCACGACACACCCAUAAACAAGACUCUACUAGACACAGUUUGUAGACUCCCUAGGAUAGAACUGCUCUGAUACCACUUCUGUCAUGCCCCGAACCUAGGGGCGAGACUGACACCCAGUGCCUCACCCAUCCUUGCGUACUAACUUACAACUAAGGGACUCUGAACAUAUGAUGUCAUACUUUGGCCAUGGGCCAUAUUGCAAGAUAACUGCGAAUGCUGACUAAAUGUCAAUAUAUAACUGGGCUGACAAGGCCAUCAUAACUAUUACAGCUGACAAACCAACCAAAUAUACAAACAAGACCUGCAAGCCCAACUUAUUGGGCUAAUUGACAAGAUGCGUCUACAAGCCUCUACUGAUGGAUAUAUUGUGAUCGGAACAACUAUCCGACCUACUCAUAACACAUAUACAAGAUGUAUAUAAGACUCUAGACCCGGAAACUCCGAAAGACUUGAAGCUUACCGAUCAAGCUGAACUCGGGCAAUACUUAUUGAAGAGGCCUACCCGUCUGUCUGUCUAACCUGUACGUAUGAAGUGCAGCACACCCAGAAAAGGGACGUCAGUACGAAAUAAUGUACUAAGUAUAUAAGACAAUAUACUGAAAGCUGAAACUAAACUGAUAAUAUAAUAACUGUAAGUAGCUGGAAGUCAAAGAUAAUCUGAAGAUAUGCUUACCUGCUGAUACUGACUCAACUCUCUUAAUAUAGUAAGUAAAAUAGUUGUUCGGCCCUAUAAGGCUCGGUAUAUAACUUACCAUCUGAUCAGAGGUUGCCCAAUAGGGGCCUGCCCAUCGAUUAUAGCUCGAUGGUAAUGAAAAUACUUUUAAUACUGUAUAUAUAUCAACUUCUCUGCUCUCUUUACUGGAAGAAGAAAAUACUCAACUGAAUAUGAAAUCCCGAUAAGGAGGAUAUUAUAACUUACAACACUAGAAAAAUAUACACAAUUUGCGAGACUAGCAAAAUAUACGUAAAUUCUAGGAUAUGAAUGUAAUGACGAGAUCAUGCCAAAUGAAAGAAGAGCUUAGCCUUAACAUACCUGGAGUAGGAAAAACUACGUAUAAUAUUCCAUUGGAAAU
This 3555-nucleotide long non-coding RNA is filed under the name Nicotiana tabacum (common tobacco). RNAcentral's name for it is "long non-coding RNA (NTAB_LNC007530)". Lineage: Eukaryota; Viridiplantae; Streptophyta; Magnoliopsida; Solanales; Solanaceae. The record is from RNAcentral.